GGGGAAAGGCUGUGGCUCAGUGGUAGAGCAUCUGCUUUGCAUGCACAUGUUCCAAGGUUCAAAUCCUCAUGUCUCCA
RNAcentral lists this transfer RNA (77 nucleotides) under Sphaerodactylus townsendi. RNAcentral's name for it is "tRNA-Ala". The stretch from base 7 to 75 matches the Rfam family "tRNA". Rfam says of the family: Transfer RNA (tRNA) molecules are approximately 80 nucleotides in length. Lineage: Eukaryota; Metazoa; Chordata; Lepidosauria; Squamata; Sphaerodactylidae. The record is from RNAcentral.